Molecule: long non-coding RNA, 2016 nt
Filed under: Sus scrofa (pig)
Lineage: Eukaryota; Metazoa; Chordata; Mammalia; Artiodactyla; Suidae
Description: lncRNA (ENSSSCG00030028020.1)
Source: RNAcentral
UUUUUUUUUUUUGCUUUUCAGGGCCUAACCUGAGGCACAUGGAAAUUCCCAGGCUAGGGGUCGAACUGGAGGUACAGCUGCUGGCCUACACCACAGCCACAGUAACUCGGGAUCUGAGCCUCGUCUGUGACCUACACCACAGCCCAUGGCAAUACUGGAUCCCUGGCCCACUAAGCAAGGCCAUGGUCAAACCCGCAUCCUCAUGGAUACCAGUCAGAUUCAUUUUCGAUUCAUUGUGCCACAAUAGGAACUCCCAGAAAUUAUAAGUUUUUAACAAAGAAUUAAAAAAUAUAAUAAAGAACAACUAAACAGAAUAGAAGAAUACAAUAACUGAAGUAAAAUAUACAUUAAAAGGAAUCAAGUCCCACUUAUUUAGCAGACUAAAUGAGGCAGAAGAAUAGAACAGUGAGCUGGAAGUCAGAGUAGUAAUCACUGCCGACCAACAGAAAAAAAAAAAAUGAAAAGAAAAGGGUACAAGUUUUUUUCCCCCCAGCAUGUGGAAACUCUCAGCUCACGGACUGAACCCACACCACAGCAGCGACCCAAGCUACAGCAGUGACGGCAGAUCCUUAGCCUGUUAAGCCACCAGGGACCUGUGAAAAGAAGACAGUUCUGAGAGACCUUUGGGAUAACACCAAGUGCACCAAUAUUCACAUCAUUGGGGUCCCAAAAGAAGAGAGAUACAGCCUGAGAAAGUAACUGAGGAGAUAAUAUGUGAAAACUUCCUGAAUCUGGGAAAAGAAACAGUCACCCAAGUCCAGGAAGUGCAAGGAGUGCCACACAUGAUUAACCCACAGAGGAACACACAAAGACACAGCGUAAUUAAAUGACAAAAUUAGGGAGUUCUUUGGUGGCACAGUGGGUUAAGGAUCUGGUGUUGCGAUGUUGCCACUGGUGUGGCUUGGGUUGCUGCUUCCAGGGCUGGCCAGGGAACUUCUGCAUGCCUUGGGCAAGGCCAAAAAAAAAAAAAAAGACAAAAAUUAAAGAUAAGGAGUUCCCAUCUGGCGCAGUGGAAACGAAUCCGACUAGGAACCAUGAGGUUUCAGGUUUGAUCCCUGAUGUCACUCAGUGGGUUAAGGGUCUGGCGUUGCCAUGAGUUGUGGUGUAGGUUGCAGACACGGCUUGGAUCCUGCAUCACUGUGGCUCUGGCGUAGGCCGGCAGCUACAGCUCCCAUGUGAUCCCUAGCCUGGGAACCUCCAUAUGCCCUGGGUGCGGCCCUAAAAAGACAAAAAAACAAACAAACAAACAAACAAAAGAACAAAAGAUAAAGAGAGACUAUGAAAAGCAACAAAUAACACAGGGGAACUCCCAUAAGGCUAUCAGCUGAUUUUUCAGCAUAAACUGCUGGCCAGAAUGGAGUGCACUUAAAGGGAUAUAUAUACUCGAGGUUAGGAAGCAGAAAAAUCUACAACCAAGAAUACUCUACCCAGCAAGGCUCUCAUUCAGAUUUGAAGGAGAAAUCAAAAGCUUUACAGGCAAUUGGAAGCUCUAAGAAUUCAGCACCACCAAACCAGCUUUACAACAAAUGCUGAAGGAAUUUUUCUAGACAUCAAAGAAGAAAAUUACGAAAUGAAAAAGUUUAUAUUUUUCUUUGCUAGCAGAAAACUAGGGGACAUGAAAUCUUAACGUGGCAAAUCACAAAAAGCGAUGCAGAUGCGAGCUGGUAACAGUAGUAAAGAAGGCAAUCAAACACAAAAAGGAUUUCAGCGUUUAGAAAGUAAGGACUAUUGACAAUGACAGCGAAAGAUGGUGUGGGAAGGACAAAGCUUGGCAAACUGUGAAGCGCUAUAAUUUAACUAUGGGGGGGCACCAGGGAGGAGAAGAAGCGGGUGAGAGUAAUUAGGCUUUGACCUCCUCUUUUUGUCCUAAGCUGUCUUGAGCCGGAGCCAUUAUAUUUGUCGAUGCAGGUCUACCUCGCCGCCUCAGUCUAGGCAACCGAAACCAAGCCUCAAACUCACCUUCGCCGGACGCCCCACAGCGAUAAAGUUCCCACAGUCAAGAACAACUUCCAGUGC